This 256-nucleotide unclassified non-coding RNA is filed under the name Hevea brasiliensis (rubber tree). Lineage: Eukaryota; Viridiplantae; Streptophyta; Magnoliopsida; Malpighiales; Euphorbiaceae. The record is from RNAcentral.
GAAAAUAACUAAAAGAGGGAAAGACUCUUUAUUACACGAGUACGAGCGUAGAGUAAGGAGCUGUAGUUGGUCGCCUCUCCUUCCCUUUGGGAGCCUUAGGUUAGUUAGAGGGUAAGUAAAUACCAUACCUUUAGGCCUUUAGACUUACCAGGUAAAACUUGAGGGGUUGUUCUUCGCGGAAGAUAAAUCGAAUAACUGAAAAUGUAAGCCAUAUAGACCACUUUAUAGCCUGUUCAAAAGGGAUUGAAUGUGUUAA